GAUGAAGAACGUAGCGAAAUGCGAUAAGUAGUGUGAAUUGCAGAAUUCAGUGAAUCAUCGAGUCUUUGAACGCACAUUGCGCCCCCUGGUAUUCCGGGGGGCAUGCCUGUCCGAGCGUCAUUGCUGCCCUCAAGCACGGCUUGUGUGUUGGGCCCCGUCCUCCGAUCCCGGGGGACGGGCCCGAAAGGCAGCGGCGGCACCGCGUCCGGUCCUCGAGCGUAUGGGGCUUUGUCACCCGCUCUGUAGGCCCGGCCGGCGCUUGCCGAUCAACCCAAAUUUUUAUCCAGGUUGACCUCGGAUCAGGUAUGGAUACCCGCUGAACUUAAGCAUAUCAAUAAGCGGAGGA
Molecule: unclassified non-coding RNA, 346 nt
Filed under: soil metagenome
Description: partial contains 5.8S ribosomal RNA, internal transcribed spacer 2, and large subunit ribosomal RNA
Rfam family: 5.8S ribosomal RNA (bases 1-120)
Source: RNAcentral